This 426-nucleotide ribosomal RNA is filed under the name uncultured Acidovorax sp. RNAcentral's name for it is "bacterial SSU rRNA". It matches the Rfam family "Bacterial small subunit ribosomal RNA", at positions 356 to 774 of the family's 1533-position model. Lineage: Bacteria; Pseudomonadati; Pseudomonadota; Betaproteobacteria; Burkholderiales; Comamonadaceae. The record is from RNAcentral.
GGGGAAUUUUGGACAAUGGGCGAAAGCCUGAUCCAGCCAUGCCGCGUGCAGGAUGAAGGCCUUCGGGUUGUAAACUGCUUUUGUACGGAACGAAAAGACUCUUUCUAAUAAAGAGGGUCCAUGACGGUACCGUAAGAAUAAGCACCGGCUAACUACGUGCCAGCAGCCGCGGUAAUACGUAGGGUGCAAGCGUUAAUCGGAAUUACUGGGCGUAAAGCGUGCGCAGGCGGUUAUGUAAGACAGAUGUGAAAUCCCCGGGCUCAACCUGGGAACUGCAUUUGUGACUGCAUAGCUAGAGUACGGUAGAGGGGGAUGGAAUUCCGCGUGUAGCAGUGAAAUGCGUAGAUAUGCGGAGGAACACCGAUGGCGAAGGCAAUCCCCUGGACCUGUACUGACGCUCAUGCACGAAAGCGUGGGGAGCAAACA